CUAAUGUUUUUGUCACUUUUAUGGAAUCAAACUCAAAAUAAGGCUUGAAAAGCAUACUUGAAGAAGGCCCUUCUUGGAGGCAGAGGCGACUAUGCAACAACAGGUCCCUUUAUGAGGCAGAUUAAGUCAUUUCGGUACCAAGAUGAAACCCACAGUUUGGAGCACAGAAGGCCAAACCCAGCCUCUGGGUGACAAUCAAGUACCCAAAAUCCCACAAAUAGCAUUGUGGGAGGAGGUCAGUGUUUUUACUUCCACAAAAUCUAAGAAACACUCGGAGGCACCACCAUGAUAAAGUUGAAGAGACUGCAGGAAUUAAUCUACUGCUCUGCAGCAAAAAGUGUUGAAGAAGCAGAAAGUAAACUAUGUCAACGACCCCAGUAGAUACAGGAGGCAGAAGGAAACCAAUCAUCCAGUGAGAGAACUCAACAAAGAACAGAGGAAACUCAGAGAGGAGGAGAGGAGAGGCAGACCUGAUGCAGACAUCUGGAGCAAGCUUCUGAGGAGUGAGGAGCCAGCUUACAGAGGCAGAAGUUACAGGAGUCUAGAAGUGGACUAGAACAAGCUUCUGCAAGAAUCUCUUUGGGUUUGCAAACAACCCCCUAUCAGAAAGGAGCUCAGUGUUAAUCUACAGGCAGACCUGGAAAAACAACUAAAAAUGUCCAGAACAGAAAAACACUGAGCACUCUCUCAUUUUUAUGGCAGUUUCAUUUUAAUGGAGAGAGACAGAAUAUCAACCAAAAAUCCAGAAAAAGCACAUCACAUAAAAGUUAUGAACGGAUUUGCAUGUUACUGAGUGACAUGAGUAUUGGAUCUCCAAGCAAAAUAUGACUGAGAACGAAACUCUAAAUCCUUCAGGUUUCUUGGUUGAAGGCAAAGUGGUGAAGUUGCCCUGUACACAGCCCCAAAGCAUAAUGCUUCCACCUCUGUGCUUGGGUGUGGGGAUGAUGUCCUUUGGGUCAUGCUCAGUAUUUCUCUUCCUCCAAACACAGCAGGUCUGCUUGAUGCCAAAGAGCUCGAUUUUGGUUUCAUCUGACCACAGCACUUUCUCCCAAGCCUUCUCUGAAUCAUUUAGAUUUUUACUGGCAAACUUAAGACAGGUCUGUACAUGAGCCUUCUUGAGCAGGGGGACCUUGAGGGUGUGGCAAGAUUUCAGUUAUUUAGUGGUGACUGUGGUAUCAACUGCCUUGUCCCUGACGUCCUUUGACAGCUCUUUGGUCUUGCCCCAUGGUGGUGGAAAGGUGGGAAUUGGAGGAAACUGAUUCUAAGGACAUCGGGAGUAUCUGUAGUUGACUGAUUGUAAUCUCUGUGUCACAUGGACAUACAGUCAAUCUGUGAACCAGAAUUCUGGCUGGUUUGUAGGGGAUCAAAUGCUUAUUUUACUCAAUGACAUGCAAAUAGAUUUGUAACUUUUAUGUGAUAUGUUUUUAGAAAAAAGCAGAUAAAAAUUAAAAAGUGUUAAUUUCUUUGUAGGUGAGCAAACUUACAAAUUCAGCAAGGGAUCAAAUAAAUAUUUCUCCCACUGUACUUACAGUCUAAUUUGUGUCUUUUUUCCCC
Long non-coding RNA from Oreochromis aureus, 1554 nucleotides. The record is from Ensembl. NCBI's taxonomy places the organism in Eukaryota, Metazoa, Chordata, Actinopteri, Cichliformes, Cichlidae.